UACGGGGGGGGCAAGCGUUGUUCGGAAUUACUGGGCGUAAAGGGCUCGUAGGCGGCCAACUAAGUCGGAUGUGAAAUCCCCAGGCUUAACCUGGGAACUGCAUCCGAUACUGGAUGGCUUGAAUCCGGGAGAGGGAUGCAGAAUUCCAGGUGUAGCGGUGAAAUGCGUAGAUAUCAGGAAGAACACCCGUGGCGAAGGCGGCUCUCUGGGACGGUACUGACGCUGAGACGCGAAAGCGUGGGGAGCGAACAGG
This 253-nucleotide ribosomal RNA is filed under the name uncultured bacterium. RNAcentral describes it as "partial 16S ribosomal RNA". It matches the Rfam family "Bacterial small subunit ribosomal RNA", at positions 524 to 776 of the family's 1533-position model. The record is from RNAcentral.